AUUGAACGCUGGCGGCAGGCUUAACACAUGCAAGUCGAGCGGAGAUGAGGUGCUUGCACCUUAUCUUAGCGGCGGACGGGUGAGUAAUGCUUAGGAAUCUGCCAUUUAGUGGGGGACAACAUUCCGAAAGGAAUGCUAAUACCGCAUACGUCCUACGGGAGAAAGCAGGGAAUCUUCGGACCUUGCGCUAAAUGAUGAGCCUAAGUCGGAUUAGCUAGCUGGUGGGGUAAAGGCCCACCAAGGCGACGAUCUGUAGCGGGUCUGAGAGGAUGAUCCGCCACACUGGGACUGAGACACGGCCCAGACUCCUACGGGAGGCAGCAGUGGGGAAUAUUGGACAAUGGGCGGAAGCCUGAUCCAGCCAUGCCGCGUGUGUGAAGAAGGCCUUUUGGUUGUAAAGCACUUUAAGCGAGGAGGAGGCUACUAGUACUAAUACUACUGGAUAGUGGACGUUACUCGCAGAAUAAGCACCGGCUAACUCUGUGCCAGCCGCCGCCGUAA
RNAcentral lists this ribosomal RNA (501 nucleotides) under uncultured bacterium. RNAcentral's name for it is "partial 16S ribosomal RNA". It matches the Rfam family "Bacterial small subunit ribosomal RNA", at positions 30 to 523 of the family's 1533-position model. The record is from RNAcentral.